RNAcentral lists this ribosomal RNA (253 nucleotides) under uncultured bacterium. RNAcentral's name for it is "partial 16S ribosomal RNA". It matches the Rfam family "Bacterial small subunit ribosomal RNA", at positions 524 to 776 of the family's 1533-position model. The record is from RNAcentral.
UACGGAGGGUGCAAGCGUUAAUCGGAAUUACUGGGCGUAAAGCGCACGCAGGCGGUCUGUUAAGUCAGAUGUGAAAUCCCCGGGCUCAACCUGGGAACUGCAUCUGAUACUGGCAAGCUAGAGUCUUGUAGAGGGGGGUAGAAUUCCAGGUGUAGCGGUGAAAUGCGUAGAGAUCUAGAGGAAUACCGGUGGCAAAGGCGGCCCCCUAGACAAAGACUGACGCUCGGGUGCGAAAGCGUGGGGAGCAAACAGG